Psammomys obesus (fat sand rat) is the source of this 104-nucleotide small nuclear RNA. The record is from RefSeq and is a predicted model, not a curated record. NCBI's taxonomy places the organism in Eukaryota, Metazoa, Chordata, Mammalia, Rodentia, Muridae.
GCUUGCUUUGCUUAUACAUGUACUAAAUUGGAAUGAUAUAGAAAAGGUUAGCAUGGCUCCUGGAUAAGCAUGAUACUCAAAUUCAUGAAGCAUUCCAUAUUUUG